RNAcentral lists this long non-coding RNA (716 nucleotides) under Malus domestica (apple). RNAcentral's name for it is "long non-coding RNA (MDOM_LNC005667)". The record is from RNAcentral. Lineage: Eukaryota; Viridiplantae; Streptophyta; Magnoliopsida; Rosales; Rosaceae.
CAUUUGGUUUUUGUAUCCAUAAAAUUGAUUUAAAUGGAGCUAAACAAAAUGAAAAUCCAAUUCUCAUUUAAAAGAAACAAAACAAUUUUGUUCUCAUCCUAUUUGGGCCAUCUUGCAAUUAACCUCAACUUUUGGGCCAUAUUGCAAUAACAAAAACUUUUGGGGUCACUUUGUAUAAUACACAAAAGUCACAACUUCAUGUAAAUACAACUAGAACCCAAACUUUUAAUAAUGCAAAAACUUCAUUAAAGGAUCAAAACAAUUUGUCCUUUAGCGUUUUUGGACCUAAACGUAAAAACGUAAACUUUUGGGCCAAAGUGCAAAUACACAAAAGUAUCAAAACUUUAUGUAAUUGCAUAAAAGCCCCAAAAGUACUCCCUUUGAGGGAGUGGCCUGUUUUAGGGAGAGGAUAAGAGUGGUGUGUGUGUUGAUUUGUAAGUUUUGUCAAAAAACAUGCAAGUGUAUGUAAAAGGAUAUGUUUAUGAAAUAAAUCAAUCAUUAUUAUUUCAAUCAUCAUUUAUACAAAUAAUUAACACUUUAAAUACAUGAUAAAUCAUUUAAAAACAUAUCACAUAUACUUUAUGAAAUAAAUCAAAACUUUGAAUCAAAACACCAAACCUUUUUGUUCUUGGCAAGAACAUCAAGAACAAUGAAGAACAUCCAUGAAAAACCCAAAUUUUUCCAUGAACUUUUUCCACCCAAAAACAUUCCAAAAA